AUUGAACGCUGGCGGCAUGCCUUACACAUGCAAGUCGAACGGCAGCACGGGUGCUUGCACCUGGUGGCGAGUGGCGAACGGGUGAGUAAUACAUCGGAACGUACCUUAUCGUGGGGGAUAACACAGCGAAAGUUGCGCUAAUACCGCAUACGCCCUGAGGGGGAAAGCGGGGGACCGUAAGGCCUCGCGCGAUUAGAGCGGCCGAUGUCUGAUUAGCUUGUUGGUGAGGUAAAAGCUCACCAAGGCGAUGAUCAGUAGCUGGUCUGAGAGGACGAUCAGCCACACUGGGACUGAGACACGGCCCAGACUCCUACAGGAGGCAGCAGUGGGGAAUUUUGGACAAUGGGGGCAACCCUGAUCCAGCAAUGCCGCGUGAGUGAAGAAGGCCUUCGGGUUGUAAAGCUCUUUUGUCAGGGAAGAAACAGCAGCUCUAACACAGUCUGCGAAUGACGGUACCUGAAGAAUAAGCACCGGCUAACUACGUGCCAGCCGCCGCAGUAA
Molecule: ribosomal RNA, 501 nt
Filed under: uncultured bacterium
Lineage: Bacteria
Description: partial 16S ribosomal RNA
Rfam family: Bacterial small subunit ribosomal RNA
Source: RNAcentral